Long non-coding RNA from Diabrotica virgifera virgifera (western corn rootworm), 332 nucleotides. RefSeq lists it as uncharacterized. The record is from RefSeq and is a predicted model, not a curated record. The transcript has 3 exons. Lineage: Eukaryota; Metazoa; Arthropoda; Insecta; Coleoptera; Chrysomelidae.
GUUUAUCUACGACAGCUUUAAAAUUAAUCCAUUUGUAGUUGAUUUCUAUUGAAGAUUUCCUUUCAAUUGUUUGGCCACAUAAGAUCGAGCAUUGUCCUGCAAAAAAAUGACAUCAGGCAAGUGCUGUCUUUCACCUUUUAAUGCUGGUCAGAAGUUCUCCGUCUCUUCCCAUUCUGCGCAACAAUAUAAAUGCUAACAUAAAUAUCAUAAAUCUUACGCCAAUCAAUAAUCAUUAUAGAUUUACACCAUAAUAUAAUGUAUUGACAACAAAUGAAAAAAUUAUUUAUUGUACAAAUUAAAAAUACUUUGUAGAAAUAAAUUUCACAAAAUUA